GUGUUCAUCUCAGUAGCAUAUACGCUAAAACUGGAACAAUACAGAUUCAGAUCAGCAUAGCUCUUGUGCAAGGAUGACAUGCAAACUCAUGAAGUGUUCCAUAUUUUA
Bison bison bison is the source of this 108-nucleotide small nuclear RNA. The record is from Ensembl. NCBI's taxonomy places the organism in Eukaryota, Metazoa, Chordata, Mammalia, Artiodactyla, Bovidae.